ACCUGAAAUAAAUGGUGGUCAUUUGGCUUCAAUUCC
Molecule: small RNA, 36 nt
Filed under: Bombyx mori (domestic silkworm)
Lineage: Eukaryota; Metazoa; Arthropoda; Insecta; Lepidoptera; Bombycidae
Description: ovarian small RNA-4408
Source: RNAcentral